RNAcentral lists this ribosomal RNA (415 nucleotides) under uncultured eukaryote. RNAcentral's name for it is "SSU rRNA". It matches the Rfam family "Eukaryotic small subunit ribosomal RNA", at positions 592 to 1018 of the family's 1831-position model. The record is from RNAcentral.
CAAUAGCGUAUAUUAAAGUUGUUGCAGUUAAAAAGCUCGUAGUUGGAUUUCUGGGAGGGUGCCAAUGUCCGCCGACGUGCGUGCGCAGCGGCGCCCUCUCAUCCUUCUGUUAACGUCUCUCAGCAUUUAUUUGCCGGUGGCGGGCUCAGAUAUUUUACCUUGAGAAAAUUAGAGUGUUUCAGGCAGGCUAGGCCGGAAUACAUUAGCAUGGAAUAAUGGAAUAGGACUUCGGUCUCUUUGUUGGUUUGAGGGACUGCAGUAAUGAUUAAUAGGGAUAGUUGGGGGCAUUAGUAUUUAAUUGUCAGAGGUGGAAUUCUCGGAUUUGUUAAAGACUAACUUAUGCGAAAGCAUUUGCCAAGGAUGUUUUCAUUAAUCAAGAACGAAAGUUAGGGGAUCAAAGACGAUUAGAUACCGU